GUGAGGAAUAUUGGUCAAUGGACGGAAGUCUGAACCAGCCAUGCCGCGUGCAGGAAUAAGGUCCUAUGGAUUGUAAACUGCUUUUAUUCGGGAAUAAACCUCUUUACGUGUAGGGAGCUGAAGGUACCGAAGGAAUAAGCACCGGCUAACUCCGUGCCAGCAGCCGCGGUAAUACGGAGGGUGCAAGCGUUAUCCGGAAUCAUUGGGUUUAAAGGGUCCGCAGGCGGGCUAUCAAGUCAGAGGUGAAAUCCCACAGCUUAACUGUGGAACUGCCUUUGAAACUGAUGGUCUUGAAUUAAGUGGGUGUUGGCGGAAUAUGACAUGUAGCGGUGAAAUGCAUAGAUAUGUCAUGGAACACCGAAAGCGAAGGCAGCUAACGAUACUUAUAUUGACGCUCAUGGACGAAAGCGUGGGGAGCAAACAGGAUUAGAAACCCCGGUAGUCC
This 445-nucleotide ribosomal RNA is filed under the name uncultured bacterium. RNAcentral's name for it is "partial 16S ribosomal RNA". It matches the Rfam family "Bacterial small subunit ribosomal RNA", at positions 354 to 796 of the family's 1533-position model. The record is from RNAcentral.